Epinephelus fuscoguttatus (brown-marbled grouper) is the source of this 514-nucleotide long non-coding RNA. RefSeq lists it as uncharacterized. NCBI's taxonomy places the organism in Eukaryota, Metazoa, Chordata, Actinopteri, Perciformes, Serranidae. The transcript is spliced from 3 exons. The record is from RefSeq and is a predicted model, not a curated record.
CUCAACAUUGGCCAUCUCCCCGUGAGUCAUCAUCGCACGCAGCUCGUCGGCCAUCUCCUCAUGGGUCUCCAUUGCACGCAGCUCAACGUCGGCCAUCUACUCGUCAACGUCAGCCAUCUUCAUGCCCACAGCUAUCUCCAAGUGGGUCUUCAUCACACGCAGCUCAUUAUUGUUCAUCUCCGAGCCCCCAGUCAUCUCCCCGCCUUUCUUCGUCGCACGCAAUGGAAUCUCAGUGGUUAUCGUCACGCUUAUCUCAGUCAUCGUCCUGCCCAGUGCCAUCUAAUCAGUCCUCAUUCUCUGCACAAAGGUCACACCUAAGCUCCAAAAAUGCUACAGAACUAUUCAAGCCAUCUUUCAGAGUGGGGCAAUCUGAGAUGGAGCACAUACCUUGCUCUGUUGCAGAACGGUACAUGCUACAUCUGCUUGAAUAUCAGAAACAGCAGCUAAACCAACUGAUGGCUAUGGUCAACUCAAUGCCUGGGAGAACAAACAAUGAAUGUCCAUCUGAACUGCC